AUGGACAGGUCCCACAAAUAUGAGAGUCAUACUCAAUGUUUGGGUGUUUUAAUUAUUCCUGUAACCCACCUUGAGGAGAAGCAGGAGCAACGGGAGGUACUUCUGGAGUUAGAGAAUUGGCCAUCUGCAAGGACGUUGCCCAGGGGACACCCGGAUGUUUUGAUGUUUUACCAUCUUUGUGGGAAGCUUCUCUCAUGUCCCUGCAUGGAGCUGGAGCUGAUAGAGGGAGCUCAUCUGCGCUCUCCCCGGGUGGGAUUCGAACCUGGCAGCUUUCAGGUCAGCAACCCAACCUUGAAGUCACAAGGCUUUUAUCCCCUAGGCCACUGGAGGCUCCAACAUGUUAUCACUAAUACAAAUUCAGGAACUGGUUCUCUUCUGUAUCUCUUCUGCUUCUCAACAUCUAAUAUGAAUUGAACAGUCUCUGAUGGCUCCUCGUGGUUUGUGUUUUGCCACCUCUCUUGCUCCAUUACUAGAAAAAUAAAGAGUCCAAUGACAUCAUGGGUCGACUCCAUCUCUACAUUUCAUAUAAUGUCUAUUUUGUCCCCUUAGGUCAUACUGCUGGGUGCCGCUGGCUUUAUUAUGAAACUCAAUCACCCAUGCAUUCAUAACCUUCAGUGGCUCUCAUUCAUAAGUUGGCACCACGGUGCGAUAACACUCCUGAGCAGAGGUUGGUUGUAUUAAGGGAAACCGGCCAUCAAGAUUUUCGUUGCGGAAAAUGCCAAGCGAAGGUUGUUAUUAUGAAGCCAUGAUUUCAUUUUACCUCUGCCCAGAGCCGUUAUUUUUAACUGGUCCAUUGCACACCAUACCUUUGAUUUAAAAAACGCAUUAUUAUUUUUCUCCUUUUCCUUUUUCUCAAAAUUGGCCCUGUAAACAUUGCUUUCCUAAUGGAAAAGUAGAAUUGGUCAGCCAGGCCAAGCUGCAGAGGUUAUUGCUAUUAAAUGGCUAAUUCUUGCCCACUAGACUAAUAAUUUAACCAUGCUAAUAAUAUCAGCCAGUGCCUAUGUCAAAUCCAUUGUUACACAAUGUGACCAAAUCCAUUACCACACACAUGGAAAUCAAUUACCGCACAUUAGGGAGCGCUUAACAAUUUACCGCAGCCUUUGCCGCAGAGCAUUGUGUGCAUGGGGAGGAGGGAUGAAUCAUUAUCUGCCAUGCUGGAAAUAGAUCCCCCUCCUUCUCCUGUAACAAAAGCACACAGGUGCAUAGCAUAGCACAUGCAGACUGGUAAUGGCUUGAUGUAGGUAAACAAGGCAUUUUAGGUGUUGGAAAUAUACUGUUUACAAGAAAGCAGCAUACCGAAGGUGGGAGAAAGAUGCAUUGCUAUUGAGAAAAAUUGCUCCUUUUGUUGGGCUAUAAAUAUGUUCUCUCUCCUUCAGUAACAAUAAAAAGGAAGGGAGGUGGGGAAAGGGGGGAAAACUAAGCUAUCAUGCACACUUAAGGAAGCUGCAUUUAACAUGCGUUUGAUGGAGAAUGCAUACAUACCGCUAUCAAGUGACAAUAUUGUUAAUGUCUUGUUGUGCUUACACAUUUCAGAGGAAUAUCACACUUUCUGACAUUUAACAGAUGGCAACUAGGACAUAUACAGCCAGGUGACAUCAGAGUGGUCAAGAUGUUAAAGGUUAUUAAUGAGGAAGAACAGACAAGAUAGGCAACAUGCAGCAGUUUGCUUCUGCCUGAAUCUAUAUAAUCAUAAUAAUAAUUUUGUGUUGUCAAAGGCUUUCAUGGCCGGGAUCACAGGGUUGUUGUAUGUCUUUCGGGCUGUGUGGCCAUGUUCCAGAAGUUGCCAUCAUGUCAUCAUGGAGGAGCUGCAGGAUGUUUACAAAUUUGUCAGGGCACCCGAUUUUUUGGAGGAUAGUCCAGAGAGCGCUGCGAUUCACUGUGUUGAAUGCCUUUGCAAGGUCAAUGAAUGCCAUGUACAGAGGUUGGUUUUGUUCCCUGCAUUUUUCUUGGAGCUGUCGAGCAGUGAAGAUCAUGUCCACUGUUCCUCUGGAAGGACGGAAGCCGUUCUGGGAUUCUGGGAGGGUGUCUUCUGAGACAGGGAGAAGGUGGUUGCAAGGAUUCUUGCGAGGAUUUUCCUAGCGGAAGAUAGAAGGGAGAUACCGCGAUAGUUCCCGCAGUCUGUUCUGUCCCCUUUCUUGAAAAGGGUGAUGAUGGUGGCAUCCUUGAAGUCAGCUGGGAUUUUCUCGGUCACCCACACCUUUUCAAUGAGCUGGUGGAGUUGUUGUAUCAGCUCAGGUACACCCGUUUUGAAGAUUUCAGCAGGGAUCCCAUCAGGUCCGCUGGCUUUGUUGUUUUUUUGUUGGCUGAUGGCAUUGCUAACUUCUUCCAAACUAGGCAGUGCUGCAAGCUCAUCCCUGGUUUGUUGUUGCGGGAUUUGUGAGAGGGUCUCUUCGGACACAUUGGAGCUGCAAUUCAGCUCCAUGGCAUACAGCCUCUACGCUCAUCAGAUGGAACCAAAAUUCUGAAGGACAAAACAUCAAUUGCACUACGUUGGAAAGAGCACUAACAGUUCCAGAAGUAUUCUCUCCUGACGUUUCACCCACAUCUAUGGCAGGCAUCCUCAGAGGUUGUGAGGCAUGGAUAAACUAGGCAAGGAAGGUAAAUAUAUAUCUGUGGAGAGUCCAGGGUGUGACAAGAGUCCUUUGUCACACCCUGGACAAAUCUGCUACCAGUAUUAAAAAAACUCAAAAAUCAGAACAGUAGGUGGGAAGCAACACUCUGAGGGCAGAGGAGCCCCAAGGACGGCUAAUGACUCUGAACAAAGGAUGCCCCCCAGGCAAGAGACAAACCUUUCCAAUGCUAAUUAGGGUGAUUAACUGAAACAUUAGAGCUGGCUUCCAACUGACAAAGGAUCCU
Long non-coding RNA from Anolis carolinensis (green anole), 2856 nucleotides. NCBI's taxonomy places the organism in Eukaryota, Metazoa, Chordata, Lepidosauria, Squamata, Anolidae. The record is from Ensembl.